RNAcentral lists this ribosomal RNA (465 nucleotides) under uncultured bacterium. RNAcentral's name for it is "partial 16S ribosomal RNA". It matches the Rfam family "Bacterial small subunit ribosomal RNA", at positions 338 to 795 of the family's 1533-position model. The record is from RNAcentral.
CCUACGGGAGGCAGCAGUAGGGAAUCUUCCACAAUGGGCGCAAGCCUGAUGGAGCAACACCGCGUGAGUGAAGAAGGGUUUCGGCUCGUAAAGCUCUGUUUUUGGAGAAGAACGUGCGUGAGAGUAACUGUUCUCGCAGUGACGGUAUCAAACCAGAAAGUCACGGCUAACUACGUGCCAGCAGCCGCGGUAAUACGUAGGUGGCAAGCGUUAUCCGGUUUUAUUGGGCGUAAAGCGAGCGCAGGCGGUCUCUUAGGUCUGAUGUGAAAGCCUGCGGCUUAACCGAAAAAGUGCAUCGGAAACCGGUCGACUUGAGUGCAGGAGAGGACAGUGGAACUCGAGGUGUAGCGGUGAAAUGCGUAGAUAUAUGGAAGAACACCGAUUGCGAAGGCAGCUUUCUGAUCUGCAACUGACACUGAGGCUCGAAAGCAUGGGUAGCGAACAGGAUUAGAUACCCGAGUAGUC